CGGGGCGGUAGUGUAACUGUAACACCUGCCUGCCGGCAGGCAGGUGCACGAUUCGGGUUCAUGAGACUCCGGGUUCAAAUCCCGGCGCCCCGA
RNAcentral lists this transfer RNA (93 nucleotides) under Candidatus Vogelbacteria bacterium. RNAcentral describes it as "tRNA-OTHER". It matches the Rfam family "tRNA". From Rfam's summary of the family: Transfer RNA (tRNA) molecules are approximately 80 nucleotides in length. The record is from RNAcentral. Lineage: Bacteria; Candidatus Vogeliibacteriota.